AAGCUUUGGCGUUGUUUGAACGUUGAAGCUAGACUAUGCGGAAGACAUACUGGUUGUUUGGUUCAGUUUUGAGAGAGUAAAUUAUACCUCUCAAGGAUAAAAGGAUUUUCUGUUAAAAUCCGUCACGUCCUGUGACGAACACAGAAGUCACGACAUCCUGUAGAAACUUUGUACCUUGAAAACUAAAUAAGAGUAACAACGACAUCAAACUAAAAGCGGAAGCGAAUGUGUAGCGAUGUACAGACUGGACUGACUCGAAGGAGAUAAAGGAAACACGGUGAACGCAAGUGAAUCGAUGUUGACUUAUCGUAUGGAGAGGAAGGAAGUCAUGCUAUUGCUAUGAGCUGAAGCUAGAAAACCAAAAGCUGAAAU
This 372-nucleotide unclassified non-coding RNA is filed under the name Virgibacillus sp. mdu11. Its description in RNAcentral is "partial 16S-23S intergenic spacer". The stretch from base 97 to 164 matches the Rfam family "Bacillaceae-1 RNA". Lineage: Bacteria; Bacillati; Bacillota; Bacilli; Caryophanales; Bacillaceae. The record is from RNAcentral.